Schistocerca gregaria is the source of this 312-nucleotide long non-coding RNA. RefSeq lists it as uncharacterized. NCBI's taxonomy places the organism in Eukaryota, Metazoa, Arthropoda, Insecta, Orthoptera, Acrididae. The transcript has 3 exons. The record is from RefSeq and is a predicted model, not a curated record.
GGUCAACAGUCACCCACGGCUAGCCACACACUAAACAUGAGGACCGCCAACGUUGCCAAGGUACUCCUGGUUGUGCUCCUCGGUCUGCUGGCAACUGUGGGGGCCACGUUCUUCCCGAAGAAGACGAAGGUGGUGGUAAAAGAAGUGUUCCUACCACCGCCCCCACCUGCGUGGCCACCGAAGAUCAUCGAGAUUAUAGAGGUGCCGGCGCCCGUGAAGGCUCUGCCCUGGUGGUGAACGUCAGAACUGCACAGGCCGUGCACCCCUUGUUAUGUAUACAGACUGUUGUUAAUAAAAUGCUUUAAAAACUUA